This 358-nucleotide unclassified non-coding RNA is filed under the name soil metagenome. RNAcentral's name for it is "partial contains 5.8S ribosomal RNA, internal transcribed spacer 2, and large subunit ribosomal RNA". The stretch from base 1 to 120 matches the Rfam family "5.8S ribosomal RNA", at positions 35 to 154 of the family's 154-position model. The record is from RNAcentral.
GAUGAAGAACGUAGCGAAAUGCGAUAAGUAAUGUGAAUUGCAGAAUUCAGUGAAUCAUCGAAUCUUUGAACGCACAUUGCGCCCGUCAGUAUUCUGGCGGGCAUGCCUGUUCGAGCGUCAUUACGCCCCUCAAGUCCCCUGUGGACUUGGUGUUGGGGAUCGGCGAGGCUGGUUUUCCAGCACAGCCGUCCCUUAAAUUAAUUGGCGGUCUCGCCGUGGCCCUCCUCUGCGCAGUAGUAAAACACUCGCAACAGGAGCCCGGCGCGGUCCACUGCCGUAAAACCCCCCAACUUCUGAACGUUGACCUCGAAUCAGGUAGGACUACCCGCUGAACUUAAGCAUAUCAAUAAGCGGAGGA